ACUCUUGUUUGGGCAUACAUUACAAAAUUAAAACGAUACGGGAAAAGAUUAGCAGGGCCCCUGCGAAAGGAUGACACGCAAAAUGGAAAGGGUUCCACUUUUAAU
Penaeus monodon (black tiger shrimp) is the source of this 105-nucleotide small nuclear RNA. The record is from RefSeq and is a predicted model, not a curated record. Lineage: Eukaryota; Metazoa; Arthropoda; Malacostraca; Decapoda; Penaeidae.